AGUAAAAGUCGUAACAAGGUUUCCGUAGGUGAACCUGCGGAAGGAUCAUUACCGAGUGCGGGUUCUCACGAGCCCAACCUCCCACCCGUGUUUACCGUUACCGCGUUGCCUCGGCGGGCCCACUGGGGCCUGGCCCCGGUCGCCGGGGGGCUUCUGCCCCCGGGCCCGCGCCCGCCGACGCACCCUAGAACCCUGCCUGAAUAGUGAGUCUGAGUGAGAUUUGAAAUCAUUAAAACUUUCAACAACGGAUCUCUUGGUUCCGGCAUCGAUGAAGAACGCAGCGAAAUGCGAUAAGUAAUGUGAAUUGCAGAAUUCCGUGAAUCAUCGAAUCUUUGAACGCACAUUGCGCCCCCUGGCAUUCCGGGGGGCAUGCCUGUCCGAGCGUCAUUUCUGCCCUCCAGCACGGCUGGGUGUUGGGCGCUGUCCCCCCGGGGACACGCCCCAAAAGCAGUGGCGGCGCCGCGUCGGGUCCUCGAGCGUAUGGGGCUUUGUCACCCGCUCGGGAGGGACUCGGUCGGCGCUGGUCUUCCCUUUAGGCCGCCCUUCGGGGUGCGCCUCUUCCGGUUGACCUCGGAUCAGGUAAGGCUACCCGCUGAACUUAAGCAUAUCAAUAAGCGGAAGAAAAGAAACCAACAGGGAUUGCCC
Molecule: ribosomal RNA, 645 nt
Filed under: uncultured fungus
Lineage: Eukaryota; Fungi
Description: eukaryotic LSU rRNA
Rfam family: 5.8S ribosomal RNA (bases 234-387)
Source: RNAcentral